Molecule: long non-coding RNA, 1212 nt
Filed under: Marmota monax (woodchuck)
Lineage: Eukaryota; Metazoa; Chordata; Mammalia; Rodentia; Sciuridae
Source: RNAcentral
CUUGGCCCCUCUCCAGGCGGGGUCCGCAUUGGUGGGCUGGGCUGGGCUGGGCUGGGCAGGUGGACGGUGCGGCUUCUCUCUGCUACCCACCACCACGUCCUGUACCGAGGCAGGUCCUGGGGUCUGGGCUGCUGGUUGUGAGGAAGCAGGGGGUCUGCGAUUCUUGGGUUGUGACAGAGGAAGAGUCUGUGCCCAGCCCCUGGUGUAGAGGGACAUGGGACUUACUCUCACAGGUCCCUGGGGAGAAAAUGGAGGAGACUGGGAACAUGGCAUUUCCUGAAGUCCUGAUGUGAUCCUGACCUAGAGGGUUGGGUCCAAGGACAGGAGGGCAGGAGCGGAGGUCAGCUACCAGGGGCAAGUGGCAGGGGACACCACGGCCAGUGGCUUCAGAGUCUGGGGUGAAGGUAAUAGGAUCCCAAAGGGUCAGUGGACCAGGUGGCCUACUCUGGUCUGUCCCUCACUCAGCUUGCGGGGAACCACCUGCCCACACAGCCCCAAGAGGGUGCGCCAGGCAAGUACAGGGUGCCCCAGAGCAACCACCCAAAGCCACUGUCCGCGGCUUCCCACAGCGUCGGCCUAUGAGCUGUAAAGCACCCAGCUGCACUGCGACGUCCUGUUGGUAGGACAGGCCCUGCUGCCCACACGGGACCCAGUGGGUGUGGCCUGCAUGGUGUCAGGCUGGAGCCUGGCGUUGGAGAAGGAACCCCGGACAUAAGAGAUCUCUGUGUAACACUGUGUGUGGGAGGACACGGGGGCCAGGAUGGAGAUGGGUCGACACAGUCAGGCAGACGCUGAGUCAGAAGCAGACACACAGAGCGGAGUCCCUGAGACGGCAGAGCCCCAGACGCCGGGCACUGAGAGGAGGGGAGACGCCUGGGGGUGGCUGAUGGACACACAGGCCGUUGAGCUGUGUUUCACUUUAUGUUCCCACAGUGCCAGCGGCCAGGUUCUAAGGAGCACCCUUCCUGCUCUGUGUGUGCGUGCGUGUGCGUGCGUGCGUGCGUGCGUGUGUAUGUGAGUGUGUGUGUUGGAUUGUACUUUAAGGUCUGCCUGAGGUGUGUGUAUGUCCAGCCCCGGGGCUGCAAAUGCCCCAAGCAUACUGUUCACACAUCCAAAGGAAAUGGAGGACUGAUUUCCACAAUGUGAGUAUCCAUACAUAUGUCCCCUAAAUAAAUCAUGUAUCUGAUUAAAACAACUCAUGUUUAUAAAGCA